AUUGUGCAUUAUGCUAGAGUAGACUGGAUUUUAGUGGUUUGUGUUGAUGGAUAGUGCAUAUGAAGCGGGAAGGUUAGGACAAUCCUCAUUCAUCCCAAAAAAAAUUAGCUCAAUAAUACAACGUACUCUUAUUGAAGUACUAUUUAAGGCUGUUUGAUAUGGAUUGGUAUAACAUGCUAUAUGACGAAUCUUGCACAUUAUUUGACCUUAUAGAAGGCGGUUACUUUUGCAUUAAGACACUAAUUACAACAUUUGUGUUUCCGUGACUUACUUUCUUCAAGCUAUUAUAUUCAUCCAGGACUGUAGUAAAAGUAAACAAACCAAAAAACUUAUUAAUUGCCAGUAACAAAAAUCAUUAAUAUCAAAAAUCUAUAAGUUGCAAUGAUACUAUAAUGAAAAAUGUCUUCAUUAAACGAAAGAAAAAUAAAAGACGUUCGGGACAUAUGGAACGCCAGUCUAGGAGAUUCCGACAAAGAAAAUCCAAAAAUACCAAUCGAAAGCAACAUAGACAAUAGAACAAAACAUAAAUACAAAACACUAGAAAGACAUUUGAGUAUGAAAAAAACAAUAAGAAGAAAAAUGAUGCGAGAUCUCAGAGAAAUAGGCGAUGCUCAAGCUGAAGAUAAUACUCAAAGCGAGACUGGAUUUUUAGAACAAAUUAGAAAUGAUCAACCCCCUCCUGCUAAUGUAGAUAAACCCAGUUUAUGGAAAAGACUGACCAAAGGAUGGGGGCAUUAGGAUUUAGAUGUAUUAAAUAUGUUAAGAAGAAAAAGAUGACUGUUUUAUUGAUUUUGAAAAAAAUUUACAUCACUGAGUUUUUUAAAUUCGUAUUUAUGAAAUAAUAAUUGUCUAUGAAAACAUUUUAAACCAGUAAUUUAUCUGCAUCAACUUUGUUUUCAAAUGUGUGGAUGUAAAAAAGUCUGAACUAAAUAAAUAAACAAAA
This is an RNA transcript of Diorhabda carinulata, 943 nucleotides long. RefSeq lists it as uncharacterized. The record is from RefSeq and is a predicted model, not a curated record. The transcript is spliced from 2 exons. NCBI's taxonomy places the organism in Eukaryota, Metazoa, Arthropoda, Insecta, Coleoptera, Chrysomelidae.